GCUCUCUACACCUCAUCAGGGCAGUCUUCCCUCCUUCUCAGGGCCUUGUGUCAACUGGGAGGGACAGCCCCAUCUCUCUGGCUGGCAUGAGGCCCAGCCUUGACCCUGCCAUCACCCCAAGGCUGCAGUUCCUAGGAUGACCCAGGUGGGAGGAUGGGAGGAUGGAAAGCUAGGAAGGGGACGUUCUGACCAACCGACCCACCAACACUGACUGCCCUUUCCACAGUACUUCCAACCGCCAAUGUCAGCGGCCACUCACACAUCUCGGUGCUCUAUCCACAAGGUCAGCAGGGCAAGUAUGAUUUCCACACAACAGAGGAGGUAAGCGAGGCUCAGAGGGGCCUGAGCCGGCUUGCUAGUAAAUGGGCCCUGCCCCCACUAGGUGCUCUCACUCUCAGAUGGGUGAUGGGUGAGCGGUGGCAGGAGCACCCCGGGAGAGGGCUCAGGCCUUUGGCACCAGGACCCAUAAUCUGUGUGCAGGCUUCUGUGCUGCUGCAGCUCCGGGGCCCCUGCCCUGGACAGCCCAGCCUGCUUCCACUUUUUCUGGGGACUGACUAUGGAAACAUCCUUACCAAGGUGCCGGUGACCAUAACAGCCAAGCACAGGGCUCUCCAGGAUGAGGAGUCCAAGCAGAUGCUGGAGAAUUGGGGCCUCCGUUACGGUGAGAGGGCCAGUGCCGAAGGCCUUGGAAUCUUUCUGCAGCCCCAGAAUACUCUCACUGUGAGCAGCCACAUGGUUCCUUCUGAAAUCAGAAAACAACAGUGAGCAUCAUCUAAGAUGCCCUCAUCUGAUAGAACGGGGGUAGUAGGGGCUUGGUGCCUUUGGGUGAUCCAAAGAAAGGAAGAGCCAGCCCCUGCCCUCCCGGGACAUCCCGCAACCCACCUGGCAGGAUGGGGAGGAAGUGGAGAGCUCACUCGGCUCUGCGGUCCUCCUGGGACUCAUGGAUGUGGAGGGGCCAAGCAUGGGUACCUCCUCACCUGCAUCCUUCAGAGGCUGUUGGAGAGCAAGCUGCUGCUGCCUGUCACCCCCACCCCCAGCUCUGGGCCUGGGGCAGUGAGCUUCCAAUCCUUCCUGAGCACCACUGCACGCUAGACCUGCACCAGGCCCCGGGGGACACGGACAACACCGGCCCCACACGCAGUGAGUGGGCUCACGAGCUUCUGGUCCUUUUCCACAGGGUUCUCUGAAGUUCCCUCCAUCCCAGGCCUGGAGAGCCAGAUGGCACCUCCUCCAGGAAGCCCUCUCUGACUUGCCUUGCUGGGUGCUUCCGCAGACCUCCGUUGGAGAGGAGGCAUGGGUGGCUCUGACUUACCACAGAGCUUGUUUGUCUGUUCCUCAAUCUUGGCUGUUCCCUCUCAGGGCCCUACCCCACGUCCCUCUAGAUGUACCCCCUGUGCCUUGCACAUACUAAAUAAGCUCAGUAACUAUGCAUCAACUAAUGAACAUGAGUGUGUAAGUGAAUGAAUGAGUGAAUGAGUGAGUGGGCUGUCUAGCGGUGAGAGUGUGGCUCCCCCAUUGAGGAGAAGGAGGCCUGCAAGGGUUAACUAGGAGCCCGCCUGUGGUCUGAGGUAAGCAGGGAGCGUAUUUGUUCAGGUAAAUAAGGAAGGAUUACUUAUAAUGGGAAAUCAGGCCUGGCCAACUCUUCAUCUCACGGCUGCUUGACUUCCUCCCAGCACAUUCCUGCACUCUGCCCGUGUCCACACUGCCCUAAGCCCACCACAGCCUCCAUGUAAGCCCCUUCAGCUAGGUCCUGCCACCGUGCCAACAGGUGGCCCUGGGGCUGGGGGCAGAGGGCUCCCUGCAGGACACAAGGCCCCGGGAUCUCAGAGGGCCACCCCUCGAGGGUGGCCAGGUCCCCAGCGGCCCACCCAAGCACCACCUCUGCCCCCAGCCCUGCUGGCCUCCUGUCCCACUGGUCCCCCAGAUGCCUGGCUGAACCCCAGCAGUGGCCCACGCUGCCUCCGCCUUCUCCUGGCCUCCCCCGAGGUUGGCGCUGCGGUGGACGACUCCCUGGCACAAGGCAGCUAACGGGUGAGUCUGGUGGGAACACUGAGUGCCUUGCGGGGGGUGUCCUCCUCGCAGCUGUGGAGAGGUGGGUGACGGGAGAGCAGGACUGGAGGCAUGGUCUGUGAGCUCAGAACUGGCCUCCCAGGCAUUGCUGGCCCUCUGCUCUAGGUCCUUCACCCUCAGAAGCCCCUGCCCCUGCCCCUGCCCCUGCCACCCAUCUGCCUCCCUGGGUGGACCCUAGAGCCUGCGUGAGCCCCCAAGGCCACACCUUGAGCCCGGCCUAUGCAGCCUGAGGGAGGCGGCUCUGCAGGUGCAGAGCCUCGGCCCCUAAGACACGGCCAGUUCUGCUUGGCUAGUAAAACACAGGCGACCUUUCUGCUCUGCCAGCUGCAGCUGCUCUGCCAAGGGAAGGGUCUGCCUGGGGCCAGGCCACUGUGUCCAGGGGCUUGCUGAGGCCUGGAGGCUUGGGGCCAAGCUCAGGCUGGGAGCAGCGGAGACAGGCCCAGGGCCAGGGCUUGGGCUGUGGCAGUGGUGGGUGCAGGACCCAGGUGGUCUGGGGAGCUGCAGAGCUAACUGCUGGGGGUUCAGGGACCCAGGGAAGCAAAUGGCCUGUGGGCCCCAGUCUGAGCACACUAGCAGGGAAAUGGGAUGUCCCUGAAGACCCCCCUUUCUAAGAUUUGCCAGAUGCCUUCUGUGGAGAGAGGGAAGUGACAGUGGUAAUGAUGGGAUAGAGAGCUGAAGGGUCUGGAUGUUGGGGGGUCCCCCUGAAGCUGGACAAGGGGUGUGUAUGUGUGUGCAUUCCUGUGUGUGUGUGUAUGGGUAUGUGCUUGCAGGUGCAUGGGCAUCUGUGUGUGUGUGUUGGGGAGUGGGCAGGCACAGAGCCAGGCCACAGGCCUGUCCCCUGUAUGACAGUAUGGCCUUUCUCCCUUUCUUUGGCCAAGGCUGGGACGAGGCCUCAUUUCCUGCCCCCACCACCCCAAUAAACAGCUUCACAG
This is a long non-coding RNA of Vulpes vulpes (red fox), 3002 nucleotides long. Lineage: Eukaryota; Metazoa; Chordata; Mammalia; Carnivora; Canidae. The record is from Ensembl.